CGUUUUAACUUAAAAAAAAGUUGUUAAAUACCCGAUCCCAUACCGAACUCGAACGUAGCUUUUUUUGUCAUGAAUACUGUUUUGGAUGGGAACCCUGACUUGUUAAA
This 107-nucleotide ribosomal RNA is filed under the name Sirodotia delicatula. The record is from RNAcentral. Lineage: Eukaryota; Rhodophyta; Florideophyceae; Batrachospermales; Batrachospermaceae.